GAAUGUUGACCAUGCAGAGAACAUUUUCUUUGAAUGCUUAGGUUAGGAACAUUUUCUUUGAACAAUAAGGCUAACCUGUGGAGAUAAGGAGAUCAAGGAUUUGGUGGAACACGUUUUGUAGAACCAUCUUAAAAAUACAGUUGAUAAAAUUUCUAAAUGAAGACCAAGAUAAAGGGAACAAGAUCAGAAAACGUCAUCCUCACAGAAAUUAUUAAGAAUCCACACACCAUGUAUGAAAUGAGCUAAUCCUGGAAGCAUUUCUAGAAGUCAUGGCUGUGCAGGAUAAUUUUGAGGGAAACUCUCCAUUAAAUCCAGCUCUAAGAACUCAAUCCCGGGCACCAGCUCUCCUGGCUGAACUCUGGUCUGGAUCUGUCCUGUCUCCUACCAGAAAGCAUUCAAUGUUAUAGAAGCACAUUUAUGACAGCGGCAACAUGGAAAGUCACGUGGCCAUAUUCCAGAUACCUCUGAAGUCUUAAUCUAAAAGAGUGAUAAUGUGGGGUUAUCAGGUACAAUGGCAGGCAGAAGUUUCAAAGUAGAAUGCCUAACAGAACAUCUCAACUAAGAAUAUGAAAGCAACUGCUUACUCUACCUACUUAAAAGGCAGCUACAUUCCUGCAUGUCUGGAAACAAAAGAUAUAAACAUAUCUUCAUCGUCAAAAGACAAGGUGUUAAGAAUUCUUUCUCAGCAGGGGAUAAGAUGCAAUAAAACAAUUUCACGUGAAAAUAAGUUUCCUAUACUUGACUGGCAAAUAUGUACUUUGAGACAUUUUAUGUGUCCCAAGUAAACAUGUGUUCUGAAUAAAUAAGUCCCUCCAAAAUUCAUAUGUUGAGGCCUUAACUCCACCGUGAUAGUAUUUGGAGGCAGAGCUUUGGGAGGUACUUAGGUUUAGAAGGGUU
This is a long non-coding RNA of Mustela erminea (ermine), 897 nucleotides long. RefSeq lists it as uncharacterized. Lineage: Eukaryota; Metazoa; Chordata; Mammalia; Carnivora; Mustelidae. The transcript has 4 exons. The record is from RefSeq and is a predicted model, not a curated record.